UGCAAUGACUCUCAAUCUUUCCAGGGCAAGC
RNAcentral lists this non-coding RNA (31 nucleotides) under Mus musculus (house mouse). Lineage: Eukaryota; Metazoa; Chordata; Mammalia; Rodentia; Muridae. The record is from RNAcentral.